RNAcentral lists this unclassified non-coding RNA (233 nucleotides) under plant metagenome. Its description in RNAcentral is "partial contains small subunit ribosomal RNA, internal transcribed spacer 1, and 5.8S ribosomal RNA". The record is from RNAcentral.
UUUCCGUAGGUGAACCUGCGGAAGGAUCAUUAUUGGAUUUUGAAACUUCAGGCUGCUGCUGGCUCUCCUCGGAGGGCAUGUGCACGCUUGUUGUCCAUCAUUUCUCCCACUGUGCACAAAUUGUAGACCUUUCAGUAGGCCUAUGUUGUUUUUCACAAUCUCUGAAUGUAAUAGAAUGGUUUUGAAUCUUGGGAAAUACAAUACAACUUUCAGCAACGGAUCUCUUGGCUCUC